This 1406-nucleotide long non-coding RNA is filed under the name Eucalyptus grandis. Its description in RNAcentral is "long non-coding RNA (EGRA_LNC000642)". The record is from RNAcentral. Lineage: Eukaryota; Viridiplantae; Streptophyta; Magnoliopsida; Myrtales; Myrtaceae.
AAGCAGUAAGGACAGAGAGGCUUUAGAGAAGGUAAACAAGAAUUUAUUUAUUUAUUUUUUCAUUAUUGAUGAACAGAAAAACAAGAAUGUCCAGUAGUUUCUUGGAGACUUUCAGAUGAACCAGCUUUAUUUUAUGGUGUUAUUUGUUGUCUGUAAAAGCUUAUAGGAACCUGGAUCAGACAUGGAAACAAUGAACGUAGAGAAUGCAACUUGUCUACUUUUUCCAUUAACCCAUUUUUCAUUUCCAUCGGUUUAUUUUAUUAGGAAAACGUUAAAAACGCGCCUGGAACACUUGCUAAGUCUUUCAAAAUAUUAUUUGUAAAUAAUUAAACUUUCUACUCGAAGCAAUUUUCUGCAAAUGUACACUUCCCUGAUAUCCAAGGCACUUUGAAAAAAAAAUAUAAUUUCCUAUAUUACUUGUAAGUUAACUCAACUAGUGCCUUAGAGCCGCUUAUUAAUUAAAACUCAUCUUAUUAUUUUAAUUUCUUCUUCUUCUUCUUUUUAAAUUUUAGCAUGCUAGCCAUUGAAAUUGACCAUUCCAAGAACGUCCAGAUUGGGGAAUCAAAUCUUGUUUGCACGAGGCAAGUGAUAAGGGAGGAGAGACAAACGUCUGCGAGCCAUGAAUUUCCUUUUGUAUUUUUAUGUUGUUGCCUUCGGAUUAGUCUUGGGGCAAAAAAUAUUUUAUCUCCAAGUCAUCUAGUUGUCGUUUUUCCAUUUUUCUCUGAGAAAUCAAUCAGAGUUGUGGUCUUUCGGUGUCUUCUAGAAGGUAAAACCAUGACACAGAAGCGAUUCCAUGAUUUGAGGAGCUUAGCAUUGCCUGUUGGAAGCUACUUCGAUUCUUCUUCCUUAGUCUCUUAGUCCAGCGAAGAGGCUGUGAGAUCCAAUAACUUUCGGCACCACACUGUUAGAUGCAAAUUUCACGGCGCAGCUCGCGGAGUUCUGGAAAGGUUGGUCACGCUGGAAGGAAAAUGGAGAAAAAGUGGAAAGUCAAGAGUUAAAAAAGAAGAACAAAACAAGAGUUCCACAUGCCAACAGAGAGGGAACCAAUGAUGCAUGUGUGACACACAAGCAAUCCAUGAUGAUCCCAACCCAAAGCCACAAAUCUAUGUUUACAAUUUCGUGCUGAUCACGGUGGAAAAGAAGAAGACUACGUCAUUAUUCUGCGAUUCCUUCGCCAAUAACAGUAUGCACGAGUUGGAAGUCAAGAGUCAUAGUUGAAAUUAUGGCGAGGCCAGUAAAGCACAGAUCAUCCCAAUCUCACAGUCUAUUUCUAAGUCUUCAGGGUACAUAGGGAAAGAGGAGGCAACGAAUAAAAGGCGGAGUUGUCCAAUUGAAGAUUUACGUACGCGUACUUUGUAUAAAUCUGCUAUAGUAUCUAAUUAUUUAUAGCAUUUUCUGUAUUGUGG